GCCCUUGUAGUUCAAGCGGAUAGAACGGAGGAUUCCUAAUCCUUUGAUCUGGGUUCGAGUCCCGGCAAGGGUA
RNAcentral lists this transfer RNA (73 nucleotides) under Bacteroidota bacterium. RNAcentral's name for it is "Bacteroidetes bacterium (marine metagenome) tRNA-Arg". It matches the Rfam family "tRNA". Rfam says of the family: Transfer RNA (tRNA) molecules are approximately 80 nucleotides in length. RNAcentral also lists the same sequence under 1 other name. Lineage: Bacteria; Pseudomonadati; Bacteroidota. The record is from RNAcentral.